GACGAACGCUGGCGGCGUGCCUAAUACAUGCAAGUAGAACGCUGAAGGAAGGAGCUUGCUCUUUCUGGAUGAGUUGCGAACGGGUGAGUAACGCGUAGGUAACCUGCCUGGUAGCGGGGAUAACUAUUGGAAACGAUAGCUAAUACCGCAUAAAAUUGAUUAUUGCAUGAUAGUCAAUUAAAAGGUGCAACUGCACCACUACCAGAUGGACCUGCGUUGUAUUAGCUAGUUGGUGGGGUAACGGCUCACCAAGGCGACGAUACAUAGCCGACCUGAGAGGGUGAUCGGCCACACUGGGACUGAGACACGGCCCAGACUCCUACGGGAGGCAGCAGUAGGGAAUCUUCGGCAAUGGACGGAAGUCUGACCGAGCAACGCCGCGUGAGUGAAGAAGGUUUUCGGAUCGUAAAGCUCUGUUGUAAGAGAAGAACGAGUGUGAGAGUGGAAAGUUCACACUGUGACGGUAUCUUACCAGAAAGGGACGGCUAACUACGUG
RNAcentral lists this ribosomal RNA (496 nucleotides) under uncultured bacterium. Its description in RNAcentral is "partial 16S ribosomal RNA". It matches the Rfam family "Bacterial small subunit ribosomal RNA", at positions 28 to 507 of the family's 1533-position model. The record is from RNAcentral.